CAGGGAAUAGUUUAAAUAGAACUUCAGCUUUGGGUGUUGAUAGUGGGGCUAUAGCUUC
Molecule: transfer RNA, 58 nt
Filed under: Alces alces cameloides
Lineage: Eukaryota; Metazoa; Chordata; Mammalia; Artiodactyla; Cervidae
Description: tRNA-Pro
Source: RNAcentral